GACGAACGCUGGCGGCGCGCUUAACACAUGCAAGUCGAACGGAAAGGCCUGCUUUCCCUUGUGGAUUGCGGGUACUCGAGUGGCGAACGGGUGAGUAACACGUGAGUGAUCUGCCCCCAACUUGGGUAUAAGCCUGGGAAACUGGGUCUAAUUCCCGAUAGGACUGCAGGGUGGUGCCUGUGGUGGAAAACGAUUUUCUAGUGGUUGGGGAUGGGCUCGCGGCCUAUCAGCUUGUUGGUGGGGUAAUGGCCUACCAAGGCGGCGACGGGUAGCCGGCCUGAGAGGGUGGACGGCCACAUUGGGACUGAGAGACGGCCCAGACUCCUACGGGAGGCAGCAGUGGGGAAUAUUGCACAAUGGGCGGAAGCCUGAUGCAGCGACGCCGCGUGGGGGAUGACGGCCUUCGGGUUGUAAACUCCUUUCGACCGCGAGGAAGCCACCUGGUUGGAAGGGUGGUGACGGUAGUGGUAGAAGAAGCACCGGCUAACUACGUG
Molecule: ribosomal RNA, 494 nt
Filed under: uncultured bacterium
Lineage: Bacteria
Description: partial 16S ribosomal RNA
Rfam family: Bacterial small subunit ribosomal RNA
Source: RNAcentral